AGAGUUUGAUCCUGGCUCAGAACGAACGCUGGCGGCGUGUCUUAGGUUAUGCAAGUCGAACGAUCCGAUUCCAGACCUAAUCUUCGGAAAAGGUCAGGAAGAAGGAGAGUGGCGAACGGGUGAGUAACACGUGGGUAACCUACCCAUCGGUGGGGAAUAACAUCCCGAAAGGGGUGCUAAUACCGCAUAAUGUCUCGGGUGUGCAAACUCCUGAGAUGAAAGGUGGCCUCUGUUUCAUGCUGCCGCCGAAGGAUGGGCCCGCGGCCUAUUAGCUUGUUGGUGGGGUAAUUGCCUACCAAGGCUACGAUAGGUAGGCGGCCUGAGAGGGUGGCCGCCCUCACUGGGACUGAGACAAGGCCCAGUCCCCUACGGGAGGCGCAGCCAAGAAUCUUGCGCAAUGGGCGAAAGCCUGACGCAGCGACGCCGCGUGGGUGAUGAAGGCUUGCGAGUCGUAAGGCCCUGUUGGAUGGGAGGAAAAUGUACCGAGGUGAAUAGCCUCGGUGUCUGACAGUACCAUCCCAGAAAGCCCCGGCUAACUCCGUGCCAGCAGCCGCGGUAAUACGGAGGGGGCAAGCGUUGUUCGGAUUUACUGGGCAUAAAGGGCACGCAGGCGGUUUGGUAAGUCGGGUGUGAAAUCCCUUGGCUCAACUGAGGAAGUGCGCCCGAUACUGCCAUACUUGAGUUCGGGAGAGGAGAGUGGAAUGACCGGUGUAGGGGUGAAAUCCGUAGAUAUCGGUCGGAACACCAGUGGCGAAGGCGACUCUCUGGCCCAGAACUGACGCUCAUGUGCGAAAGCCAGGGUAGCGAACGGGAUUAGAGACCCCGGUAGUCCUGGCCGUAAACGUUGGGCACUAGGUGUAGGGGGUAUUCAACGCUCUCUGUGCCGAAGUUAACGCGAUAAGUGCCCCGCCUGGGGACUACGGUCGCAAGGCUGAAACUCAAAGGAAUUGACGGGGGCCCGCACAAGCGGUGGAGCAUGUGGUUUAAUUCGAUCAACGCGAAAAACCUUACCAGGGCUUGACAGCCAUCUGACACCGAUGUGAAAGCAUCGCUCCUCUUCCCGAGGCAGGUGGAACAGGUGCUGCAUGGCUGUCGUCAGCUCGUGUCGUGAGAUGUUGGGUUAAGUCCCGCAACGAGCGCAACCCUUAUCUCUAGUUGCCAGCGGGUUAUGCCGGGGACUCUAGAGAAACUGCCGGUGACAAACCGGAGGAAGGUGGGGACGACGUCAAGUCAUCAUGCCCCUUACGCCCUGGGCUACACACGUGCUACAAUGGUCGGUACAAAGGGAUGCAAUGUCGCGAGGCGGAGCAGAUCCCCUAAAGCUGGCCUCAGUUCGGAUUGUAGGCUGCAAUUCGCCUGCAUGAAGUCGGAAUCGCUAGUAAUCGCGGAUCAGCAUGCCGCGGUGAAUACGUUCUCGGGCCUUGUACACACCGCCCGUCACGUCAUCCGAGUCGAGUGUACCCGAAGUCACUGACCCGACUCAUUUCGGUGAGAGGGAGGUGCCGAAGGUAUGUUUGGCGAGGGGGACGAAGUCGUAACAAGGUA
RNAcentral lists this ribosomal RNA (1545 nucleotides) under metagenome. RNAcentral describes it as "bacterial SSU rRNA". It matches the Rfam family "Bacterial small subunit ribosomal RNA". The record is from RNAcentral.